CAGUUUCUAUAUCUUUCAAACUAAUAUAUUCGCGACAAUUUUUCAGUGAUAGAUAAAAACGGGAUUGUUGCACGAGAGCUUCGGUGAGAAUGUAACUUUGCUCUCUUGAUUAUAUGUAGAGAAAUACUACGUGACUCAUCAUCUUAAUUAAUUACUAUCGUCAUCAUGCAAGAUUGGGAGCACGCAAAUACAAAAGAAUAAAGAUAUUCGAAUUGCUGCAUGGUGCAUCGGAAGGGUCUAUUGUACCCUUCCUCGGGAAAAUUGAUCUACAUUGUUCGACUACCCGGAAAAAAGGGAAGACCGAAAAAAUUCAUAUAUGGCAAGAUAAUUGAAACCUCAUAACUGUGAUCAAGUCCGAAUAUGGAAUGCGUAGUUAAAGUUAGAGAUUAUAAAAAUUAAAAGUUAUAAAUUGGCACUAAAUAUCUCUGUGACUGACAUAGGUUUUCUAAUAUAGUGUUUUUUAAUUUCGUCAUUCCAAUACAAUUUAAUAUUGUUAAUUGAGACUUAUUUCUUUCCUUUUGAAAUAGUGAUGUCAACAUGUCUUAAAAACCUAUGAUUAAAAUCAAUUAUAUUACACUAUUAUUAUUAAAUUGUACUGAAAUUUCUGUUAACAGUUACAAUAAAUGAUUUCUUACCCA
This is a long non-coding RNA of Solenopsis invicta (red fire ant), 638 nucleotides long. RefSeq lists it as uncharacterized. The record is from RefSeq and is a predicted model, not a curated record. The transcript has 2 exons. Lineage: Eukaryota; Metazoa; Arthropoda; Insecta; Hymenoptera; Formicidae.